Molecule: ribosomal RNA, 119 nt
Filed under: Pteropus alecto (black flying fox)
Lineage: Eukaryota; Metazoa; Chordata; Mammalia; Chiroptera; Pteropodidae
Source: RNAcentral
GUCUAUGGCCAUGCUACCCUGAACAUGCCCGAUCCCGACUGAUCUUGGAAGCUAAGUAGGGUCAGGUCUGGUUAGUACUUGGAGGGGAGACCACCUAGGAAGACCAGAUGCUAUAGGUG